Long non-coding RNA from Hyla sarda, 2215 nucleotides. RefSeq lists it as uncharacterized. The record is from RefSeq and is a predicted model, not a curated record. The transcript has 6 exons. Lineage: Eukaryota; Metazoa; Chordata; Amphibia; Anura; Hylidae.
CGACUCAACAACUUUUCCUCUGGACAGGUUUUGAUGAAUCUCCCCCUAUGCCACUAUGAUGGGCAUCUACCAGAACUGGUCCUGUGGCUGAAGUAAUAUUUAGGAGGAUGGAAGUGUUUUUAGAUAUUAUGGCUUAUCAUCGCUACUGUUUUAUUCCUUAACAGUUUUCUAUGUGGUGAGCGUAGGAGUGUUUGUGGUGGGCAUUGCCCUGUUUAGGAAAUUUUUCAGAAAGAAAAGCCAAUUUAUGGUAUUUAAGGACCUUGAGUCGGCCUACACCGAUGAUCCGUUGGGAUAUUAUCCAGAUGAGGACUAUGAUUUUUCUAACUGUACCCUCAUGAUGGAGAGUGAGGAGUGAAGCGAAAAGAUCAGCGAACAGCUCUUUAUGCAGAUGGCAGAUAUGAUGGUAUCAAAUGGAUGGUUAAAAGCUGGAUACAAGUACCUGUGCAUUGAUGACUGCUGGCUAGCUACAGCCCGGGAUGAAAAACACAGACUGCAAGCAGAUCCCAUAAGAUUUCCUGGAAGGAUCAAGAAAUUAGCUGAUUAUGUUCACUUCCAUGGAUUACUGCUUGGAAUAUAUCAGGAUCUUGGCAUAAAGACUUGUGCUGGAUAUCCAGGAAGCCAGGGAUUUUAUGAGUUGGAUGCACAAACCUUUGCUGACUGGGGUGUAGAUUUGCUCAAAUUUGAUGGUUGUUAUUAUGAAAAUCUGGAGCAGUUGGAAGAAGGGAGAUAACUUUGACCUGUGGGAAAAGCCCCUUACUGGAGGAUCUCUUGCAGUUUCUGUGACAAAUCGCCAAGAAAUAGGUGGUGCUCGACAAUUCCUUCUGUCACGUGGCAUACUUUGGGAAGGAUUAGCUUGUAAAAACAAGUGUUACAUAACACAGUUGCUUCCCAGACGUUACGAAUAUGGGUACUUCAAUGAAACAUUCAGCUUGCUGCUACCUGUGAACCCCUCAGGCACUGUAUUGUUGAGGGUGGAUUAAUCUUACACUGUUUAAUAAUAAAGGAGCAUGAAAAUCUUAUCAAGGACAGCACUGCAGCUUGGAGAACAAUCGUUGGUGAAUUCAUUGGUGUUGAAGAUCGGUUAAAGGGAUUGUCUAAUAAAACAGACAACCUGUGUAUGGUGUCAAUGUAUAAUAAAGCCAUUUACUAAUAUAAUGUUAUUAGCCAUAGUGCAGAGAUCUUCCAUACCAGCUGUGUUGUCUGGCUUAAGGGCUCGUUCACACAGGUGGAUCCGCCGAUGAUGGACCCCUACAGUGUGUCUCAGAUGUGCCUGCUCGGAGCGGCAAUCUGCCGCUACGAGCAAACAUACUGGUGUAAUGUGUACUCGCACACAUCGCGGCCACUCCCCCUGCUCCCUGAGCUAGGCCAAGAGCAGCUGCGAUCUGUGCGAGUAUACUGCGCGGCGACUCGCACAUCGCAGUGUGUCUGCUCGUAGUGGCGGAUGGUCGCUCCAAGCAGGCACAUCUGAGACACACUGUAGGGGUCCAUCAUCGGUGGAUGCACAAUGUAAAAUACGCUGUGGAUCUGCCUGUGUGAACGAGCCCUAAAGCUGUGCCAUCAUGUCAAAGACUCUAAAGGUAAAGCUCCCGUCCCUGCUUCCCCCUCGCCUCUUGUCUGCUCAGGACAAGACCAGUGAUGUGGAGGGAGGCCGGAAGGGGGUGGUGAUAUUUGGAGCUUAUAUUACUGUUCAUUGGAUUUAGGGUCACAGUAGUUUCUCUAGCUAAUAAGCAGUAAUGUGUGAUCACAUAUGUGUUCAUAUUACUGGCUGAGCAGGCUAAAGGAAGGGGGAGCUCUGCAUUUAGUAAGUGUGACGUGAUGUUACAGCUCACAAGAGAAAGAUCUGUGGACUAUGACUAUUAAUCAAAAUUUUUAAUAAAGAACUUAUGUUGGGUAACUGAGCCAUAACCACACACAGAUAAAUAGCUGAAAGUGACAGCUAUCGGAAAAAAAUUAUUUUGGCACACAAUGUUAGGUGAAAUGCAUUCCUCCAUUUUGUUUAUUUUUUUUUCCCCAUUCACAAUUUAUACAGAACUCCAAUAGUAAAUGAGGGUCAUUGUAUAUCAUUAUUCCUGUCUCUGUUUUACACUACCUGUGGUUCAGGCAGCAUGAAAUCAUGGGCAGAUUCCCUUCAAUGUGAUUUAGCCUAUUCUAUAUCCUUUAAAACAUGUCUUCAAGGGUAUCCCACUUUGCUUUUUCAAUAGCAGACCAUGAGGGG